UCGGUCGUUGAUGAUGCCUUGAUUCUCUGUCGAGUUUCACGACACUGAGAUUACUUCAUGCACUACCAUCUGAGACCAA
This 79-nucleotide small nucleolar RNA is filed under the name Leptobrachium leishanense (Leishan spiny toad). Lineage: Eukaryota; Metazoa; Chordata; Amphibia; Anura; Megophryidae. The record is from RNAcentral.